This 468-nucleotide ribosomal RNA is filed under the name uncultured bacterium. RNAcentral's name for it is "partial 16S ribosomal RNA". It matches the Rfam family "Bacterial small subunit ribosomal RNA", at positions 28 to 507 of the family's 1533-position model. The record is from RNAcentral.
GACGAACGCUGGCGGCGUGCUUAACACAUGCAAGUCGAACGGAAAGGCCCUGCUUUUGUGGGAUGCUCGAGUGGCGAACGGGUGAGUAACACGUGAGUAACCUGCCCUGGACUUUGGGAUAACUUCAGGAAACUGGGGCUAACACCGGAUAGGAGCUCCUGCGGCAUGGUGGGGGUUGGAAAGUUUGGGCGGUUGGGGAUGGACUCGCGGCUUAUGAGUUUGUUGGUGGGGUAGUGGAUUACCAAGGCUUUGACGGGUAGCCGGCCUGAGAGGGUGAACGGCCACCUUGCGACUGAGAUACGGAGCAGACUGCUACGGGAGGCAAUGGUGGGAAAUCUUACCCAACGAGCGGGAGCGUAAUGCAGAGACCCUGGGUGCGGGAUCAGCGCCUUCGGGUUGUAAAACGCUUUCGGCUGUGACGCAGCGUGAGUGACGGUAAUGUAUGAAGAAGCACCGGCUAACUACGUG